CCGCGAUGCCUUGCAAUCGCAGUUGGCACGGACGAUCUCUGGACCAAGUCCAUAAAAGUUUGUAGAGGAAAUUUUUAUACGCGAACAAAUAUCCCAAUUAUAAGCUAACAAAUAUUUGUGAAAAAUGCCCCAAACAGGAUGUGAUGUCAUAUGUUUGCAACGCUGAACCACACCUUAUCUGGCACGCCCUCCCUUCAAAUCAACGACCCAAUCACACAGAAAGUCCGUUUAACUAAAGUUAAUGUGUGUACAGUCGUUGAGAGGGCAGACAUUUUUGACCAGAAAUAAUUUUGUUUCUCAGGUUUCCUUUGUUUUACUUUAACGACUCGGACUUGGAAGGUGGACACCUAAGACAUAAUAAGAGAAGAACACAGAAGUGAAGAAUAUCCGGUCAGCUCCCUGCAGAAGUUAAAUGUGAAAAGAGCCAAAGAGGCGUGACUGGCAAGGACAAGCAGGAGAGGACAGACGCAGAGACUCCCAGCAUCUUUCUUGAGCUUCCUGGGAUAAUUGCCUCACUCAGAUGGCUUAAGGUUCUUUCAGACCAAAAGCGAAGCGAGCAUUCGGGCGAGCAGGUGACAGGUGAACUACUCGAGUUGACGAAGUUACGUUACAGAACGCUGAAAUACAACCGUGGUGUUUUGUCGGGAGAUGCUGUGACAGAAACCAGCAGUGAGAAAACUAUAAAUCGCUGUGACGUUAGAAGAUGUAGACACCGUGGAUAUUUUACAAGCACCGAUCAGGUAAAGCAACACUGAACACACCUUUUAGGGAGGGCCUCAGCU
Molecule: long non-coding RNA, 782 nt
Organism: Micropterus dolomieu (smallmouth bass)
Lineage: Eukaryota; Metazoa; Chordata; Actinopteri; Centrarchiformes; Centrarchidae
Exons: 3
Source: RefSeq, a predicted model, not a curated record